Lingula anatina is the source of this 1212-nucleotide long non-coding RNA. The record is from RefSeq and is a predicted model, not a curated record. NCBI's taxonomy places the organism in Eukaryota, Metazoa, Brachiopoda, Lingulata, Lingulida, Lingulidae.
UUUAACACAUUUUCAAUCACAUCUCUAGAAAGUGCAGCUGCCAGGCCAAAGUUAAAACUGCUCCCGAGAACCAAGAAAGACCCUGUUGCCCAAUCAGAACCUUCUAGAAAUUCAAGCAUAUUUGGCUCUGGCAAACCAAGGGAGGCCAAACCAGAUGAUUACACAGCCAGUGACGAAACAUCACAUUAGUAAAACAGAGGAAAACUUAGUGUAUUGAAUAAUAGGUUUUAUGUCAGUGAACAGUAGGUCAGCUGAUACCCUUUUGUAGGAUUGAAUAAACAAAGAAAAAAAACACUGAAUUAAUAAAAAGAUCUGCAGGAAGUCUAUAGAUACAUUGGCAGCAGGAAUAAUUGCAUGAUUCAGUACAGUUCAGGGUAAAGGGCCAAAAUUCCAAGUAGAAGAUCUAAGAAAUGGUCUCUUUUGUUGAAACUGUAUCAGUCCUAGUCGCAGUGCAAUGCAAGCAUAUCUUCCGGCCAUUGCAGAUAGUAAAGCAUUGUUUGUUGUAUGUGAUAUGAAUGUCAGAUACUUUUUCACUGCUCCUUACCAGCUGUCGUAUUAGAAUUCCAGUAUAUUGAAAUAAGUUGUGUCUUAGUAUCAGUAAAAUGGAUAAAAUCUUUGUGCUGCUGCCGGGACAGUGUGGAAAUCACAACACAAUGUUUGUGUUCUAAAAAGAUGCAAUGGUAUUAUUUUUGGAAAUGUUUCGAAAUCCCAGAUUUUGUUGGAAUGUAAAUUGUGAUUUAGUUUUGUGUUGUCUCAUGUGUAGAUAUAAGAGAUUUCAUUGAAUUAAGAAUGACAUUGGACAAAUUGAUAUAUAUCAAGACUCAAUUCGGAAUAGAAUGCUGACAAAGGCAUGUUGGAUUUUUUUUUUAAAAUUGACAACAUUCAUUGCACACUCAUGUGUUCAUUACUGUGGCAGGUUUCAUAAGCAUAGCAGCUACGCAGCCAAGAUUGUGUAAUAUAUUAUUCCUAUUGGUGUAUAGCAAACUGAUCUGAGCUUGUACAGGAAAUACUCGAGAAGUUUCUUGUAAUUCAGAUGGUUUGUUUUGGUAAGCUUUGCCAACUGAGCAUGUAUAAUGUUGAUACUUUGGAAUACACGCCAUUUUGUAUAGAAUUAUUUGUUGGACAUUUUAUUUGUACAGAUGUACAAAAUUAUUGGUCCUUUGAAAGGUCCUUUAUAUAUACCAAAAUGGAAAUAAAGUUUUAUGAAUUUUC